Non-coding RNA from Salvelinus sp. IW2-2015, 1417 nucleotides. The record is from RefSeq and is a predicted model, not a curated record. Lineage: Eukaryota; Metazoa; Chordata; Actinopteri; Salmoniformes; Salmonidae.
UUCUGGGUAACCAUUUAGUACCUUACUGUGAUAUUAAAUCAUUCUGGGUAACCAUUUAGUACCUUACUGUGAUUGCUUUGAGUUAAAAUGGUCAAAAAGGAACAAAAAUAGCUUCUUAACGAAGAGCAAUUUCUCAAGCAAGAAUUUUGCACGUUUUGAGUGGGGAGCGGAAAACAGAAAAUUAGCUGUUAUUGGCAGAGGGGUUUGGAACUUUUUCUUAUUGGUCUAUUAACUAAUUUACCACAUGGUGAUGUCACCAUGGAAGGCCAAAACUCACUCYCACCAAAACAGUCUGAAAUUUCAGGCGGCCUUUUCAAACCGCUCUUACACUGAAAUGGCAUCAUCAUUUUCACAAUUUCACAGUAUUAUUCCAAAUUCAUAGUGUGGAAAUGUAUAUAAAUUGUUUGUCAGUAGCAGUGUGGUAGGAGGUGUGAUUUGGGUGGAUAUUCUAGAUGUUCUAUGUCAGUAGCAGUGUGGUAGGAGGUGUGAUUUGGGUGGAUAUUCUAGAUGUUCUCUGUCAGUAGCAGUGUGGUAGGAGGUGUGAUUUGGGUGGAUAUUCUAGAUGUUCUCUGUCAGUAGCAGUGUGGUAGGAGGUGUGAUUUGGGAGGAUAUUCUAGAUGUUCUCUGUCAGUAGCAGUGUGGUAGGAGGUGUGAUUUGGGUGGAUAUUCUAGAUGCUCUCUGUCAGUAGCAGUGUGGUAGGAGGUGUGAUUUGGGUGGAUAUUCUAGAUGCUCUCUGUCAGUAGCAGUGUGGUAAGAGGUGUGAUUGGGAGUGCAGUAGUAAGCAUGUUCACUGCUCUAGAAACACCUGCUGCAAUAACCCCCACCCCAGGACAGAAUACUGCCAUGCAGGGAGGAACCGCUAGUAAAGACAUCUAGACCCCCAAUUGAAGUUGGUUGGUUAGGGUGUCUAUUUUCAGUUCAAUAUUUACCAGGUAUUACAUGGUCAUAAUAUUAAAAUGACAUGACAAUUACUCUGUUACCAUGUUCUAUUGUGUAGUCUUCCAUUUUAUUUCUUAAAGCACAAUUUCCCCAUAAACCCUGGCGAGUACCAACUUAGACAGGGCUGUGCAGUAUUACCAGCAGACAUACCAUGUAGCUUCACUCAGACAGCUUCACACACACCUCUUGAAGAUUUACAGUAGAAACCUGAGGAGAGGGUUGUUGAUCGCAGGGUUUACAAUAGAAACCUGAGGAGAGGGUUGUUGAUCGCAGGGUUUACAGUAGAAACCUGACGACUGACGAGAGGGUUGUUGAUAGCAGGGUUUACAGUAGAAACCUGAGGAGAGGGUUGUUGAUAGCAGGAUUUACAGUAGAAACCUGAGGAGAGGGUUGUUGAUAGCAGGAUUUACAGUAGAAUCCUGAGGAGAGGGUUGUUGAUAGCAGGAUUUACAGUAGAAACCUGACGACUGACGAGAG